AGGGCACAUGAAGGAUGCCUUGGCUCUCGGAUGCGACGAAGGACGUGACAAGCUGCGAUAAGCUGUGGCCAGGGGCAAAUACCCGCUAACAACCACAGAUUUCCGAAUGGGGCAACCCACCAUUUCGAUGGUAUCACGCAAAGCGUGAGGCUAACCCGGGGAACUGAAACAUCUAAGUACCCGGAGGAAAAGAAAACAACAGUGAUUGCGCAAGUAGUGGCGAGCGAACGCGCAGGAGCCCAAACCGUUCCUGUUACGGCAGGGACGGGGUUAUAGGACCGUCGCCGGUCCGCCGACAUCAGGUCAGCCGAACGGCUUGGAAAAGCCGGCCAUAGCGGGUGAAAGCCCCUUAGGCGAAGACCUCGACGACAGCGGCAGACGGCACCUGAGUAGUGCGGGACACGCGAAAUCCUGCAUGAAUUCACGGGGACCAUCCCGUAAGGCUAAAUAUUCCCGAGAGACCGAUAGCGAACCAGUACCGUGAGGGAAAGGUGAAAAGAACCUCGAACAGAGGAGUGAAACAGACCCUGAAAUCAUGUGCCUACAAGCGGUCGGAGCCACUUCGUGUGGUGACGGCGUGCCUUUUGCAUAAUGACCCUACGAGUUGCCCGUCCCGGCAAGGUUAAGAGCCAGAAGGUUCGGAGCCGAAGCGAAAGCGAGUCUUAACAGGGCGCAUAGUCAGGGCGGGCAGACGCGAAACCAAGUGAUCUACCCUUGGGCAGGUUGAAGGACAGGUAACACUGUCUGGAGGACCGAACCGGUAAGCGUUGAAAAGCUUUCGGAUGACCUGAGGGUAGGAGUGAAAGGCCAAUCAAACUUGGAGAUAGCUCGUACUCCCCGAAAUGCAUUUAGGUGCAGCCUCGGGCUCAGUACCGUGGAGGUAGAGCGACUGAUAGGAUGCGAGGGCUUCACCGCCUAUCAAGUCCUGACAAACUCCGAAUGCCACGGCACGAUACCCGGGAGUGAGGGCGUGGGUGCUAAGGUCCACGUCCGAAAGAGGAACAACUCAGACCAUCGGCUAAGGCCCCCAAAUACGGGCUAAGUUGAAGACAAUAACGAGGUGGAAUUGCAUAGACAGCUAGGAUGUUGGCUUGGAAGCAGCCAUUCAUUUAAAGAGUGCGUAACAGCUCACUAGUCGAGUGAUUCCGCGUGGAUAAUAAUCGGGCAUAAGUCCGUUGCCGAAGCCAUGGAAUCAGCCUUAAGGCUGAUUGGUAGGGGAGCAUUCCGGUAGCCGUCGAAGGUUUGUCGCAAGACAGGCUGGAGGUCCCGGAAAAGCAAAUGUAGGGAUAAGUAACGAUAAGGAGGGCGAGAAACCCUCCCGCCGUAAGACCAAGGGUUCCUGAUCAACGCUAAUCGGAUCAGGGUAAGUCGGGACCUAAGGCACAGCCGUAAGGCGCAGCCGAUGGACAAACGGUAAAAAUUCCGUUACCCGACGGCAGAGCGAUGUGGCGACGGAGAAGUGACACUCACGCGCACUGACGGAAUAGUGCGUUGAACUCCGUAGGUAUACCAUGGGGAGGCAAAUCCCUCCGUGGUGCUGAAAGAGGACAGUACGGAGCGUCCCCCGGGACAAUCCGACAGCUGAGGUAAUCAAGCUCCCAAGAAAACCCGCUAAGCAUAUCUGCCGCCGGCCCGUACCGUAAACGGACACACGUGGUCGGGUAGAACAUACCAAGGCGCUCGAGAGAUUCACGGUUAAGGAACUAGGCAAAUUGACCCCGUAACUUCGGGAAAAGGGGUCCCCUCCUCCGGGAGGGGCGCAGAGAAUAGGUCCAGGCAACUGUUUAACAAAAACACAGGGCUGUGCGAAAUUGAAAGACCAAGCAUACAGCCUGACACCUGCCCGGUGCCGGAAGGUUAAGAGGAGAAGUCAUCGCAAGAGAAGCUUUGAAUUGAAGCCCCGGUAAACGGCGGCCGUAACUAUAACGGUCCUAAGGUAGCGAAAUUCCUUGUCGGGUAAGUUCCGACCUGCACGAAUGGUGUAAUGAUCCGGACACUGUCUCAACCGUGAGCUCGGUGAAAUUGUAGUAUCGGUGAAGAUGCCGAUUACCCGCAACGGGACGGAAAGACCCCGUGAACCUUUACUGCAGCUUAGCAUUGAAGCCGGGUGUGCGAUGUGUAGGAUAGUCAGGAGGCAGAGAAUCGGUCACGCCAGUGAUCGAGGAGCCGACGUUGAAAUACUGACCUUUGCACAUUUGGUUUCUAACUCGCAGGCGCGAGGACACUGCUUGGCGGGUAGUUUGACUGGGGUGGUCGCCUCCAAAAGAGUAACGGAGGCUUCUAAAGGUGCGCUCAGGCCGAUUGGUAACCGGCCGUAGAGUGUAAUGGCACAAGCGCGCUUGACUGUGAGACCGACAAGUCGACCAGGUAGGAAACUAGAGCAUAGUGAUCCGGUGGUUCCGCAUGGAAGGGCCAUCGCUCAAAGGAUAAAAGGUACUCCGGGGAUAACAGGCUGAUCCCUCCCAAGAGCUCAUAUCGACGGAGUGGUUUGGCACCUCGAUGUCGGCUCGUCACAUCCCGGGGCUGGAGAAGGUCCCAAGGGUUAGGCUGUUCGCCUAUUAAAGUGGCACGCGAGCUGGGUUCAGAACGUCGUGAGACAGUUCGGUCCCUAUCUGUUGUGGGCGCAGGAGAUUUGCGAGGCCCCGACACUAGUACGAGAGGACCGUGUUGGACAGACCUCCGGUGUGCCGGUUGUUCCGCCAGGAGCACCGCCGGGUAGCCGCGUCUGGUAAGGAUAAGUGCUGAAAGCAUCUAAGCACGAAGCCCCCCUCAAGAUAAGAUUUCCAUAUAAGGGUCGUCAGAGACGAUGACGUCGAUAGGUCGCAGGUGCAGGGACGGUAACGUCUACAGCCGAGCGAUACUAAUCACCCAAACCCUUUCCG
RNAcentral lists this ribosomal RNA (2882 nucleotides) under mouse gut metagenome. RNAcentral's name for it is "bacterial LSU rRNA". It matches the Rfam family "Bacterial large subunit ribosomal RNA". The record is from RNAcentral.